RNAcentral lists this ribosomal RNA (479 nucleotides) under uncultured beta proteobacterium. Its description in RNAcentral is "bacterial SSU rRNA". It matches the Rfam family "Bacterial small subunit ribosomal RNA", at positions 52 to 524 of the family's 1533-position model. The record is from RNAcentral. Lineage: Bacteria; Pseudomonadati; Pseudomonadota; Betaproteobacteria.
UCCAUGCAGUCGACGGCAGCAUAGAGAGCUUGCUCUCUGAUGGCGAGUGGCGAACGGGUGAGUAAUAUAUCGGAACGUGCCCAGUAAUGGGGAAUAACUAGCCGAAAGGUUAGCUAAUACCGCAUACGACCUAUGGGUGAAAGCAGGGGAUCUUAGGACCUUGCGUUAUUGGAGCGGCCGAUAUCUGAUUAGCUUGUUGGUGGGGUAAAAGCCUACCAAGGCAACGAUCAGUAGCUGGUCUGAGAGGACGAUCAGCCACACUGGAACUGAGACACGGUCCAGACUCCUACGGGAGGCAGCAGUGGGGAAUUUUGGACAAUGGGGGAAACCCUGAUCCAGCCAUCCCGCGUGAGUGAAGAAGGCCUUCGGGUUGUAAAGCUCUUUCGAAAGUGAAGAAAACUUAUUUCGUAAUAUGUUAUAAGUAUGACGGUAACUUUAGAAGAAGCACCGGCUAACUACGUGCCAGCAGCCGCGGUAAU